RNAcentral lists this ribosomal RNA (654 nucleotides) under Triticum aestivum (bread wheat). RNAcentral's name for it is "partial small subunit ribosomal RNA". Lineage: Eukaryota; Viridiplantae; Streptophyta; Magnoliopsida; Poales; Poaceae. The record is from RNAcentral.
AUGUAUCCGCCUCCCGGCUUCUUCUGCAGUACGGGCCCUAACGCCGGCUACACCAUGUCCGACACUGAACGCGAUAUGGCGGCACUUUUUACAAACUACAAUCGUGUUCUCAAGGCGGCUCGGGACGCCCACCCGCACCCUGACGCUCUGGGACGCCUCGAGCGGGUGCUGCUGGGCGCCGUGCUGCGUUGUCUCUCCGAUGACACGGAUUCGUUCAGAAGGAGGAUGGACGACUUCCUUGUCAAAUUCAGCAACUUCAACAGGAAGAUGGACGACAUCAGCGCGCGCCUCCAGGCCACGCGCAGCCCUAAAGGCCGCCGCCGCGGCAUCUCCCCCGCUGCCCAGCUCGCCGGCCUUUAUGGAAAUGAUCUCUUCCGCGCGCUGAUGGGCGUGCAGCUGCCCGUGGCCACACCUGCGGAGGUCUGCCUGGAGGUCGCCCUCGCUGCACAGCGCCUCAUCGUGCAUGACCAGCUCGACUUUUUCAUCAACCUCUGUGAGAAGACAGUCUUCGGGGCCGACAUUACGACGAUCAGGGAGUACAACAUCAUGGCCUUCAAGGACCACAGGAAAACCUUGGAGAAGUUCGUUCAAGAGCACAUUGACCUCGCCGAAGCCGCUGCCACUUCACGUCCACCUACCGGACAAGCAGAGUAA